UUGCACUCAGUGUAUUCUCCAGCCAUGUGAAGAAGGAUGUGUUUGCUCCCCCUUCAGCCAUGAUUAUACCUUGACUAUGAAUAAUAGUUUCAAUAAGGAAGACAGAAUGAGUUCUGACACGAUGGUUGGGAGCUGUGACAGGCAGACGAAAAAUGGAGCCAAAUGGCAUGGAGGUGUGUCAUCACUGCUGGAUUUUACCUUGAUCUACAUUCAGUUAUCUACUUCUUUUCAAAAUGCUGGGCAUUCAUUCAAGAAACAGCAUAUAUGUUCUGACUUUGAAGUAAUGGAUGAACUGUCAUGUGCAGUAUAUGGAAAUAAGUUUUAUUACCUUCUUCCCACAUUAACUCAUCCAUCCAUUCAAUAGCCAUUUAUUGAGAAGCUCACUCUGUGUUAGGCACAGUGGUGUCAUGAUGUUGGAACAGUAACAAUAACUCAACCAACCAGGGCUUGUCUGAAUACAAUCCUACAGCAGCAGGAGCUGUGGAGAUAUAGAAGGCAAGGAAGACCAGGUUGUGAGGGAAGACGAAUUUACUCCCAGGAAUGUUGGGAUUGAGAGUAAUAUUCUCCAAUAAUGGUGGAAGACAGAACAAUAAAAGCCCACCAGCUCCUUCUGCAUGGUGGGAUAAGAGAAAAGCCAAGGGCAGAAGUGAGAAAAAUAACCAUCACCAAACUGAAAAGAAAACCUUUAUAAAAAAACUGGAUUGAUAAAUGACCUUUAGUAGUGGAAAGAUACCAUUCCAAUGAAGCAUGAAUUGAAAGGAUUUCUUCUGAAAGCUAAUUUACAUUUUUCUUUUUUUUUUUUUCAUUUUCAGUGUGUUUUAGCAGGUGUAUUGUUCUACAUGGUUAGUUUCUUUACCUCUUUGAGAAAAAUGGGUCAGCUUGACACAUCUGGAUGAAAGAAUCCGUUAGGUGAUUAUGAUUGAAGACAGAUUAAGCCUUGUUAUGAGGGGAAUAUUUGGGGGCUUACCCUGAGGUGAUAUUUGAUGAUUUAGCUGUGGGAGAAUUUCCCUCCCAAGAUCAGCGUGACUGACACUGAAAUUGCUACAGGGGAACCGGACCUUUCCAAGAGGUGACAAGGACAUUUACCUGGUACAACACAAUGGUUCUGGACUGGAAGUCUAGUCCCAUUGAUGAAGUUCCCAAAAGAUGUCCAGGUCCUAAUCCCUGGAAUCUGUGAAUAUGUCAUCUUACACAUCAAAAGAACUUUGAAAAUGUGAUUGAGGUUAAGGACCUUGGAAUGAGGAGAUUACCUUGGAUUAUCUGGUUGGGUCCAAGCUAAUCACAUGAGUCCUUAAAGGAGAAGAACCUUUUUUAGCUGGGUCAGAGAGAGAUGUGAUGAUGAAAACAGGCUCAGGGAGAUGCACUGUAAGAAGGGCUUGACCAGUUGUUUUUGACUUUGAAGAUGGAGGGAAGGGCCAGGAGCCAAGGAAGGUGGGUGGCUUUUGGAAGGUGGAAAAAGCAAGGGAACAUUCUCUCCAGAGCCUCCAGAAAGGAGCUCAGCCCUGUUGACAUCUUUGUUUUUAUUUUUUAUUUUUAGUAGCAUUGAGGUCUCACUAUGUUGCACAGGCUGGUCUUGAACUCUUGAGCUCAAGCACUCCUCCCGCCUUGGCUUCCCAAAGUGCUGGGAUUAUAGGCAUGUGCCACCACAUCUGGCUUCCUACUGACAUCUUAACUUUAGUGCAGUGAGACUCAUAUUUGAAUUUCUGACCUUAUAUUAUAGAACCAUAAGACAUUAUAGAAUUAUAUAGAAUUAUAGAACCAUAAGACAAUAACUUUGUGUUGUUUUAAGAUACUAAAUUUUUGGUAAUUUGUUAUGGCAGCACAAUAAAACCAAUAUAGCAUUAUAU
RNAcentral lists this long non-coding RNA (1847 nucleotides) under Homo sapiens (human). RNAcentral's name for it is "HSALNT0313201". The record is from RNAcentral. Lineage: Eukaryota; Metazoa; Chordata; Mammalia; Primates; Hominidae.